Molecule: transfer RNA, 65 nt
Filed under: Maguimithrax spinosissimus
Lineage: Eukaryota; Metazoa; Arthropoda; Malacostraca; Decapoda; Mithracidae
Description: Damithrax spinosissimus tRNA-Arg
Source: RNAcentral
UGUUAGAAAACGAAUAAUCGUUUUUAGUUUCGACCUAAAAUUUGGCUAAAUUUAGCCUCUAACAA